AGGGGGUUAGUUAAAUGGUAUAACAGUGGUCUCCAAAACCUCUGUUGGGAGUUCGAUUCUCUCACCCCCUGCCA
RNAcentral lists this transfer RNA (74 nucleotides) under Christensenellaceae bacterium. RNAcentral describes it as "tRNA-Trp". It matches the Rfam family "tRNA". From Rfam's summary of the family: Transfer RNA (tRNA) molecules are approximately 80 nucleotides in length. Their secondary structure includes four short double-helical elements and three loops (D, anti-codon, and T loops). The record is from RNAcentral. Lineage: Bacteria; Bacillati; Bacillota; Clostridia; Christensenellales; Christensenellaceae.